GACGAACGCUGGCGGCGUGCUUAACACAUGCAAGUCGAACGGAAAGGCCCUGCUUUUGUGGGGUGCUCGAGUGGCGAACGGGUGAGUAACACGUGAGUAACCUGCCCUUGACUUUGGGAUAACUUCAGGAAACUGGGGCUAAUACCGGAUAGGAGCUCCUGCUGCAUGGUGGGGGUUGGAACGUUUCGGCGGUUGGGGAUGGACUCGCGGCUUAUCAGCUUGUUGGUGGGGUAGUGGCUUACCAAGACUUUGACGGGUGGCAGGCUUGAGAGGGUGACCGGCCAAAUGGGGAAGGAGAGACAGCAGAGACGACUAGGGGAGAAAGGGGGGGAGAAUAAUGCAGAAAGGGCGCGAGCGUGAAGAAGAAACGCGGGGUGGGGAGUGACGGUGUUGGGGUUGAAAACCGGUUGGGCCUGUGACGAAGGGUGAGAGAGGGUAAUGGGAAAAGAAGCACGGUAAAACCACG
Molecule: ribosomal RNA, 466 nt
Filed under: uncultured bacterium
Lineage: Bacteria
Description: partial 16S ribosomal RNA
Rfam family: Bacterial small subunit ribosomal RNA
Source: RNAcentral